This 446-nucleotide ribosomal RNA is filed under the name uncultured bacterium. Its description in RNAcentral is "partial 16S ribosomal RNA". It matches the Rfam family "Bacterial small subunit ribosomal RNA", at positions 354 to 796 of the family's 1533-position model. The record is from RNAcentral.
GUAAGGAAUAUUGGUCAAUGGGGGCAACCCUGAACCAGCCAUGCCGCGUGAAGGAUGAAGGCGUUAUGCGUUGUAAACUUCUUUUGUAUGGGAAGAAUGACAGGGAUUUAUCCUUGGAGAGACGGUACCAUACGAAUAAGCACCGGCUAACUACGUGCCAGCAGCCGCGGUAAUACGUAGGGUGCAGGCGUUAAUCGGAAUUACUGGGCGUAAAGCGUGCGCAGGCGGACUGUUAAGACAGGUGUGAAAUCCCCGAGCUCAACUUGGGAAUUGCGCUUGUAACUGGCAGGCUAGAGUGUGGCAGAGGGGGGUGGAAUUCCACGUGUAGCAGUGAAAUGCGUAGAUAUGUGGAGGAACACCGAUGGCGAAGGCAGCCCCCUGGGUUAACACUGACGCUCAGGCACGAAAGCGUGGGGAGCAAACAGGAUUAGAAACCCUGGUAGUCC